AGAUGUGAGGGAGAUCUGGCGGCAACCUUUGUCACUCAGUUGAUCACCAUGACUGAUUCAACUGAUCUGGUGUCCCCUUCCUCUCUCAUUGUUCCAUGUGCCUCCCUCCUUGAGCUGAGCUCACUUAGGUGAAAGAAGAUGACCUUCCAGGGAGAAGAACCAUUCUUCAGGGCUAUUAGAGUAGCUGCACUGCCCUCUAGAACCUCCAAACUCUCAAGAAAUAUAUUUCCACAACUACACUGUGAAGCCCCAUGGCAAUAUUUUUCAAUAAGAAGACAGGCUCAUUCUACCUUUCUAGAACACAUUGGCUGAGUUGUA
RNAcentral lists this small nuclear RNA (318 nucleotides) under Marmota monax (woodchuck). RNAcentral's name for it is "7SK RNA". It matches the Rfam family "7SK RNA". Rfam says of the family: 7SK was discovered as an abundant small nuclear RNA in the mid-70s but a possible function has only recently been suggested. The record is from Rfam by way of RNAcentral. Lineage: Eukaryota; Metazoa; Chordata; Mammalia; Rodentia; Sciuridae.